This is an RNA transcript of Corvus hawaiiensis (hawaiian crow), 4027 nucleotides long. It is a transcript of the gene named family with sequence similarity 174 member A, with no coding region annotated. The transcript is spliced from 4 exons. Lineage: Eukaryota; Metazoa; Chordata; Aves; Passeriformes; Corvidae. The record is from RefSeq and is a predicted model, not a curated record.
UGACGGCGGCGGGGCCCGGCCGCGCUGCGGCGUCGUGCUGGGCGGGAGGCACGGGGAGAUGUGGCCGCCGGCGCUGCCGCGGCUCCUGGCAGGGCCGCUGCUGGUGCUGCUGGUGCUGCUGGAGGCCGCCCGCUGCGGGGAGGCUACGGCCCUGCACCCCCGGGAUGCCGCCACCACUUCCCCGCGCCCCACGGAGGCGGCCGGCGGGGCGGCCACGCGGAGCAGCAGCAGCAGGAGCAGCAGCAGCAGCAGCCGCCUGGCCGAGGUGUCGGUGCCGCCCGAGCAGGGCCAGCCCAUGACCCAGCGCGCCCUGUCUGUGCUGGUGCUGGCCAGCGCCGCCCUCAUCGUCUACUUCGUGAUCCGGACCGUGCGGCUCAGAAGGCGAAACAGAAAAACACGAAGAUACGGAGUUCUGGAUACGCACAUAGAAAACAUGGAGCUGACCCCAUUAGAACAAGAUGAUGAUGAUGAUGAUACAACAGUAUUUGAUGCCAACCAUCCUCGAAGAGAAGUACGUGCCUUUCAAUGAAAGAACUUAAUCUUAGAACCAGAGAAGGAGACUGCUUCAUGGGAGAAAUAAGAAGCAAGACGGGCCAGUGUAACCCCAAAAUGGGCCCCUCCAGCCAUGCUGUGAAGCUGCUGUGGAGAAGGACUUGGUCAAAGCAGGCAAGCUCUGUGAACUGCUCCAGCUAAUAUGAGAGGGCAGUACCCUUCAGUGUAUAAACAACUGUCAGUGGAAUGUGAAUGAAGUGCUGCUAACAUUUUAUCACCUUUUAUUGUAAAUUUAUGUACACUUUUGGCACUUUUAACAACAAAGUAAUUGCAUUUUACAACAUACAGGUUUUCUGUCUUACGGCAUUUGUUUUCUUUCUGUCUUUGACUUGUAAAUGCUGCUUUUUAUGUUGUUCUGCUGUCAGCUUCUCGAGGACGAGAGGCUGUGUCCAGAUCACUUGAAGGAAUAUGAAAUGAAAUGGAGUGGAAUAUGAAGAGGCCUUUGAGGAGCCAUGAAAGGAAUGGAAAGUUGAACCUUCUUGCGUAGGUAUCAUUCAAAAGUGCCAUUAAUGAUUAUAUGAACUAAGUGAUUGCAUUUUGCUGGACUAUAAACAAUUCCAUGUCUUGCCUUCUUCCUCCUUCCCUCCUUCCUCUUUGCCUUCCUUUCUCUUUCAACAAGUGUACCCUUUUCUAAUUGUGCAGUAAGUGCUGAAAAGGAGACAUAUCCUUCCUAUGAAAUGCUUUCCCAAGCACAAUCACUGUCCAGAAUCAAAGUGAACCUGCUGGACACCAGGCUCUGAGUUUCCCAUCCCUCAUGUGCCCGGGAAUGCCUGUGUGCUCAGUUCAUGGUCACCUGGCAGAAAUUAAGGACUCACUAUUUCCAAUAGCAUUGAUGGUUAGAAUUGGAGCCGUAUUAACCACUGGAGAAGUAAUAGGUAAUGCAGCUGACGAUGUUGAUGUUCCCAUGUUUGGAACAGGUGCCAACUUACCACAGGAGACAACUGCUGGAGUUCUGAUACAGAUACACAUCAGUGUUUACAGCCAGUAUAUUAAUGUGAGGUGAAUGAAUCAGUUCUGCUGAGACACUGCUGUCAUCUCGCUGUGCUUUUGAUUGAGACCUCAGGCUCCCUGUGUUAGUCACUGGAUUUCUCAUCUAUGGGCUUGCAGGAGUUGAUAUGUGUCCUGAAUUCUGUGGCAUUUACACUAAAUAUUUCAGGUAGUGCCACAGAUCUUCGUUGUAACUACAUUAACUGCAGUACCGAACUGCUAUGAAGUUCAUCCCUUCGACGUUAGUGUUGCCUGCUUCAGGACUGGAAGAAAAGCCCAGAAAAUGCAGGCUGCUGAACAGAACAUAGCACCAACUCUGAAAACUGGCUCAGGAAUGUAACCUCUUGAACCCAGAAAUUUAUGGGCACAGAAGUGGAGGGGAUCAGACUGUAUACAUGUAAUUUUUUAACCAUGGUGGAUGUAGGCUCAAAAAUUGCCAAAUCAAAACUGCUCAGACAACACCUUAGUCUUUUUUUUAUCUGACCAAGUUGCUGCAGAUUGAGUGGCCACCUCUCCCAUGCUUUACUAGAUGUCUCUUGAAAUUCUACUUGGUAGUAUGCGGUAUCAAAAAAUUUAGUCACACAUGUUAAACAUUAUUCUUUGCUUUAUAUUGAAGUAAAAAUUCAAUCAGAUUUUACUAGAUAAUCAAAUUUCUUGAUAUCUUCAAAAAUAAAUUAAUUUGCUUGAAGGUUCUUGUUUGAUAUGAGCCUCUUUUUAAGACAGAUGGAAAUCUUCACAUGAAUUUCUUAAUAUCUGUUUCAAGUAAUCUCCACUAUUGCCAUAAGGUGGUUUUUUGGUCUUCAUGAUCAGAAUUUGGUGGGUUUUUUGCUGGUUUUCAUUUACUAAGAGUAACAAUGGUCUGGUUUUACACACUUGGUUUUUUUAAUCUUAAAUUUUAAGUCUAAGCUUUUUCAAUAACAUAUUUGAUCACUUGGUGGAGAACUGAUUAUUGAUAUUUAUAAAGGCAGUGAAACACAGACUUCAAAAGAAACAUUAAGAAUUUAAGAUUUUAGUUAAAGAUUAGUUUUGCUAGAAUUAGAGUAAGUAGGUCCACCUGAGAUUAAUUAAGAGUUAAUAAGAGUUAAGUUAGAAACAAGCUUUUAAGUUUCAGAUAAUUAACUGUCUUUCUAUAUUUGCUUAGCUGUGUUUAUAAUAAGAACCAGAAAACAUUGAUAGAUACAUCUAAAGAAAUUUAAAACAAUUGCUAAUUUUUCCCAUCUGGAUACUAUUCAGAAGUAAUAAGGAAGAAACUGGAUGUUCCCCAAGAGGCCAUUUGUAUUGUCAAAACCCAGAGGGCUGGAAAGUUCAAGUGAGGAAGAGUAUUAUUCCUUCAAGACCAUUCCUCAAUUAAUAAUGGCCACCGACUCAAUUUAGAAACUAUACUAUGCAUGCUUAAUGACAUUAAAGCUAAUUUCCAUACAAAGCAGAGAAUAGGAGGGGUCAUUGUUGUAAAUAUGUAUUUGUAUUUUGGAUAUUCAUAAUUUUUGUGGAUAAAUAGACUCUGUAACCAUUCAUACUUUGACACUGCAUAUUAGGAAGCUAUUCCACGCAGCUGUCUGGCGCCUAAUAAAACAUACACUUUCUAACUCUAAACUGUUAGAGAGUUUUUGUCCGUCUCAGUUGGAUAUCGAUGCUAGAUGGAUAUUCAUAUUUUUUGGUAAAUCAGUAGCAUUUCAAACAGAAGUUCUCUGACCAUUGUUAGGUUCUUUCAUGGCUUGUGUAUGUCCUCAUUGCCUAUAAAGCAGUUGGAAUAGGUGAACCGACAAGAGACCCAAGCACUUAAAUUUUGGAAAGUACAGAUUUUCUCAGGAAUCUUAUUUCUCUCUCUACACACAUAAUGAUAUUAUUAGUGACUCUGUCUCCUUUUUCUUUCCACAGGAUUUUUCUUAUUUACUGCACAAUGGAGAAAAUUAGUAAAUAAACUUUCAUUGUACUUUUUUCCUCACACAUUUGCAUAAUUUAAGCCAUAUUUCAGGAUUCAAAUGUUUUUCUGCAUAAAGAGUGACUACUUUUCCUAGCUUUAUUCCAAGACACCCACACCGAUUGUGUCUUAGGCCUUCAAAUGAAUAAAACCAAAUCAAUUUUCACAGAAACACCGGAAGUUCUUAUUCCCACUCUACAAUUAAGGUACUGAGACUGUGAGAAAUAAAAUUGUUGCUAAUUUUAGUAAUUUUUCUUUGGUUAAAGCAGUAAGAAAUGAUUUUCCAGAGUGUUGAAGCAGUGCAUAUGUUCUAUGUAUGUGGUAUUUUUUUCAUUUUUGUGUUGUACGAGCUUUUGUAGAGCCAAAAUCCUAAUUUGACUGAUCAGCAAAUGAGAACUACAUUGUGAAUGGCAAACUGGACAUAUUUUGAGUUAAAAGAUUUCUUUGACACCACCUGGAAACUCAGUGGCAGGGCUUGGAAUGGAAUCAGUUUCUCUAGAGUAUUGACCAAUUUUGUUUCCCUUUCUUUUUCCUUUUAAGCCUGAAAUAAAGCACAUAGAUCUGUAA